AGAGUUUGAUCCUGGCUCAGAUUGAACGCUGGCGGCAUGCCUUACACAUGCAAGUCGAACGGUAACGCGGGGCAACCUGGCGACGAGUGGCGAACGGGUGAGUAACGCAUCGGAACGUGCCCAGUAGUGGGGGAUAGCCCGGCGAAAGCCGGAUUAAUACCGCAUACGACCUACGGGUGAAAGCGGGGGACCGUAAGGCCUCGCGCUAUUGGAGCGGCCGAUGUCAGAUUAGGUAGUUGGUGGGGUAAAAGCCUACCAAGCCGACGAUCUGUAGCUGGUCUGAGAGGACGACCAGCCACACUGGGACUGAGACACGGAUCCAGACUCCUACGGGAGGCAGCAGUGGGGAAUUUUGGACAAUGGGCGCAAGCCUGAUCCAGCCAUGCCGCGUGCGGGAUGAAGGCCUUCGGGUUGUAAACCGCUUUUGUCAGGGAAGAAACGCUCCGGGCCAAUACCCUGCGGUAAUGACGGUACCUGAAGAAUAAGCACCGGCUAACUACGUGCCAGCAGCCGCGGUAAUACGUAGGGUGCAAGCGUUAAUCGGAAUUACUGGGCGUAAAGCGUGC
RNAcentral lists this ribosomal RNA (566 nucleotides) under uncultured freshwater bacterium. RNAcentral describes it as "bacterial SSU rRNA". It matches the Rfam family "Bacterial small subunit ribosomal RNA", at positions 8 to 570 of the family's 1533-position model. The record is from RNAcentral.